UGCAUCAUAAAAUGCCAUGUUAUGUAUUAGGUUGUAUUACAUUAGAAUCCACGAAUAUGAUGCAUUGCAUAAGAUGAUAUCUGUGUGGAUGAAUGUUGGAUGAUCCUUAGCCCUUGAUAUGAGCAGAGAUACUAUGAGAUCAUAUGAGAUAUGGCAUGAGAUAGCCAUACCAGGUCGCUCCUGGAUAGUUCAGGUCGCUCCUGGUACUAUGAGUUAGACAGUCAGCCUGUCAGAUCAGA
This 239-nucleotide long non-coding RNA is filed under the name Manihot esculenta (cassava). RNAcentral's name for it is "long non-coding RNA (MESC_LNC007435)". The record is from RNAcentral. Lineage: Eukaryota; Viridiplantae; Streptophyta; Magnoliopsida; Malpighiales; Euphorbiaceae.